Anguilla anguilla (European eel) is the source of this 3268-nucleotide long non-coding RNA. RefSeq lists it as uncharacterized. The transcript is spliced from 3 exons. Lineage: Eukaryota; Metazoa; Chordata; Actinopteri; Anguilliformes; Anguillidae. The record is from RefSeq and is a predicted model, not a curated record.
ACUUUGAAUAAACACUUUUUUCCAAUAAAUGUCUGUAAAAUUUGGGAGCAACAGAGCAGUGGUUAUGUUUACUGAGGCUCCAAAGAAACAGCUGGUCAUGCUGGGAACAGUACAGAAAGAUGUGGUCAUGCUUAGAGGUUAGUUUAUCUUCAGAAAAAAGGCCAUCUCCCUUCCAAAGGUUGCAGGUCGAAUCCAAACCAGGUGCUAACUUAAACCAAAUAAUCUAUGUAUUAUUCAAGAUCAAUCCCUCACCAAGAACUGACUAGUCAACAACACUCUUUCCCCAGCUACUUGGGGUCAAGUAGUGUAGUUUAUUUUAAAUGAAUUUAUUUUGCUCAAUUUGGGAUACUAAAUCUUGCAUAUUGACCUCCCAGUCCUCUAGAACUCGUCCGCUCAUUCCCAUACAUGCUGUAAUUUCACUCUGCAGUCAGCUGCGCAGGUAAUACGUCAGGGGAGACCACAACCAAUGCGGCUGGAGCAGACCAGAGCUGUUGCACAAUGUGGCAGUGACUGUCCUGUCAACUGAAGCCCUCCCUCUCUUUGACAUUAUAAGCAAUUACACACCACCCUGCAGAACUAUGUGUAUAAACAAGCUAUACUUAUGCGUGUGUGUGUAUCUUAUACACAAUACAGCUGACUCAAUACAGGAUUUUGAAUUUUGCUGAAAAAAAACACUUACAUUGUUUUCUCCCCGAUUUAAUUCGCGAUUCGGAAUGUACAUUAACAGUCGCGCUCAAGCUGCAAUCUCUGCGGCCGACGCGGGGAGAGUGUCGGCGAAGCGCGGGCUCUUUUCCAAAACGCGCAAUGUCGACAGGUGCUUCUUUUCACACUUCCGCUCACAAGCCCAGCUUGCACAGACGUGAGCCGGAGUUCAACCAAGUAAUUCAUGUAAAACAUGGCAGACUAAAUUCAAACAGCUAAAACCAAAACAGUAUAUAUAUAUCCAAUUCCAAUUUUAAAAUGUGUAAUAAAAAAUGUCAUUGCCGUUAAAAAGGGAAUUCGUCUUGUGCUUAAGGACACACGGCACAGUGAAUACACGAAAUACAUGCCAUUUACCCACGUUAGAGAAAACACAACAUCGCAUUAGAUCGUCAGAUAUUACCAACAUUAAUAACAUUAAAAAUGCACAAUAAAGCAUACUGAAAAUUGUUAUCUUAUGACACACAUUACUCAGACAAGCAAACCUCGGAACAGCAUCAAGCAGUAAACCCACCAAAAUACUCUAUUCAUACUUAAGCUGGUUCUCAGCAAUAUUUUAGAAUUUAUCAGGAACACGUAGUGGUGCAAAGACCUUUCUGGCCACUAGAGGGGAGUAAGGCAUUCUCCCAAUAACAGUAGUCAUUUUUAACAUUUUUAUUGUUGACCGCCAAAAAUACCAUGUCAUAAUGGGCUCAUGCUCAUGACUGGGAUACAAAUUCGGUGAAGGGUUGCUUUGUAAACGGCAUUGUGAUUGAUAGUCUGUGUGUGGUGAGCAGUUAGCAGUUAGCACACUGGUUUAGGCUGUAGUUAGCUGCAGGUUCUAUUCCCAAUAAUUCACCUAAAUUAUUUUCAGUGAAAAUAAAAAAUUGUUUUCAGAAAAUGUAAAGUGAAGAUAAGACCAUCUUCUAAAUGCCUAAAUGUAAAUAUAAAUUAUUCAAGUCUGAUAAAGCUUGAUAGAUGAACAGUUAGAAACAAUGUAAUAUAAUGUAAAACAGGCACCCAACACAUGAUAUUACACUGAAUUAUUGAAAUCACCUGUUUGGUAUGGUGGUUCCAAUUCUCAGAACAACAACCUGAAUUCCAAACAGCUUGUUAAACUAAUAACAAGGCUCAGUAAAGGUUGAAAUACAAUUAGCCAUCACUAGAGUUUCUCGUUAAUGACAUCAAACAUACAAUAUAAUUAAGAAAACAAUUAUACAACAAAAUGUACCAUUUGUGCACCAUUAUUAAUAUUCUAUGUAUUAUAAUAAUAGGCAUGUAUUUAUUCAACCAAUGAACUCAGUCAGAUGAUUUCACCAAUUACUUCUACCUCCUGGCUGAAGAGCUGCGAUAAUUAGCAAAUCCAGGUGAUUGGAACAAAAUUUGGAGGAGUUUUCCUUUUUGAAACUGGAUUUUCCACUUCUACUGAAAAAGAGGCUGUAACAGCUUGGAAUCCCGCAGAUUAAUUCAUUCUGAAUACUUUAGCGACUCAGUUUACAGGUAGAAACACCCUCCAGCUUGCAACACUUUUCCCCAAUUUGAAGUGCCCCGUUACAAGAUGGAGGUUCUGAAUGAAAGUACAGAGGAGCACCCAUGGACCGUAUAAAAAUAAGCAGACUGUGGGUUCCACAUCGCUCAGUAGGGGCCGCUAGAGAGCGAUGAGACGCAGACCCGAACUGAUUUCAACUCUCCAUUAACCCUGGAUGGUGCUACCGCCAAUGAUGGGCUGUCCUGCGGGGCUAUGGUACAGCCAUCCAUUCACUAGAACAGCACAUUAACAGACACCAGACCGUGGGGCCCAUCCAUGCACUGGAACUUCCACCCGCAUAUACACUGAGCUGAAGAUACUGCUAACAAUUCCGGUGGCCACCGCCUCCACAGAACACUUGUUCAGCAGUUUGCAUCAUUUACAGACAUAGGGCCUACUUACUGAGCACAAUGACUAACAAAAGAUUUAAUGGACAUCCAUCCAUCAAUCCAUUUUAUAACCGCUUGAUCCAGAUCAGGGUCGCGGUGGCAACAGGGCAAGCAGAGCAGCCCAGACGUCCCGCUCCCCAGAAACUUCCGCUAACUCAUCCCGGUGGAUCCCCAGGCGAUCCCAGGCCAGCCGGUGGAUAUAAUCCCUCCAGCGUGCUCUGGGUCUGCCCCUGGGUCUCCUCCCCGGUGGCCAUGCCAGAAACACCUCCAGAUUUAAUGGGCAUGCAUUACUGAACAGCUAGGCAGCUCUGUGUGAGUUUGAUGCAGCAGGGAGACAAGGAGUUAACGUCAAUAGACAGAUCUGGGCAACAAACCAGUCCGCCUAGAAGCCAAAUGCUACAGACAUUCUUUCGCGACCAAGACCUGCACUUUGGAGCCUACAAUCCUUGGCAGACCAGUAUUUGAUCACAGAACGGUAAGUCUGAUCCUCUUGAUGUAACGUACCAUUGAUACAGCUUGUUUGAAUUGUCUGGGUAGUUUCUAAUGAUGGGAAUCUAGUAAUUAUUAUUUACUUACUACAUUAUUUAAUUACUACAGAUUUGGCAUGAAAUUAUGACUUCAUGAAUGUGAGGAUUAUAAAGUUAGAUCGGAAAUGAUCUCUGCUGGUAUUGCU